This 497-nucleotide ribosomal RNA is filed under the name uncultured bacterium. Its description in RNAcentral is "partial 16S ribosomal RNA". It matches the Rfam family "Bacterial small subunit ribosomal RNA", at positions 28 to 507 of the family's 1533-position model. The record is from RNAcentral.
GACGAACGCUGGCGGCGUGCCUAAUACAUGCAGGUUGAGCGCUGAAGGUUGGUACUUGUACCAACUGGAUGAGCAGCGAACGGGUGAGUAACGCGUGGGGAAUCUGCCUUUGAGCGGGGGACAACAUUUGGAAACGAAUGCUAAUACCGCAUAAAAACUUUAAACACAAGUUUUAAGUUUGAAAGAUGCAAUUGCAUCACUCAAAGAUGAUCCCGCGUUGUAUUAGCUAGUUGGUGAGGUAAAGGCUCACCAAGGCGAUGAUACAUAGCCGACCUGAGAGGGUGGUCGGCCACAUUGGGACUGAGACACGGCCCAAACUCCUACGGGAGGCAGCAGUAGGGAAUCUUCGGCAAUGGACGAAAGUCUGACCGAGCAACGCCGCGGGAGGGAAGAAGGUUUUCGGAUCGUAAAACUCUGUUGGUAGAGAAGAACGUUGGUGAGAGUGGAAAGCUCAUCAAGUGACGGUAACUACCCAGAAAGGGACGGCUAACUACGUG